GUGAAGUCCAUAGUUUUCGAUCGAAGUCCAUAUUUUAGUAGUCCAUUUUGGACUGUCCAAGUCCAUAGUUUAGGGACACCCUGAAAACUGUUAGGGAAUCUAUGGAAGUUUCACCUCUAUGUUAAAAAAACAACAUGUUAGAGCCUCAAUGAAGUUUUUACCACGGUCUAACAGGAGAGGUAGACUAACGCCAUGGCAGCAGACUAAUCAAGGGACUUAGAAGGUUCCUUAAAAUGCCGCUUGGAUCGCGGCGUAGCUUGGCCACCAGCUGUUGUGUGUUGCACAGUCUCCCUCUCCCCCCUCCUUCUAUAUAUUCGGGGAAUCCCACCCCAAGCCGCCAGCGGCAAUUGGCGGCAAUGGCAGCAUUGAAGAGUUGUGACCAAGCUACGCCCGCGAUCUAAGCGGCAUUUUGAGGAAGCUUCUAAGUCCCUUGAUUAUUCCGGCUGAUCAGAGGGAUAGGGCGUUAGUCUACCUCUCCUGUUAGACCGUGUUUUUACUUUGAAGUAAAGUUGUCUGUGCUUCCAAGUUCCAACCAGAUUGAGACUAAAUUGACUUAAGUUCUGAGGUAACAGACUUGAAGGAUUUGUAGGAACUGUUACUGCUGCUGUUAGAAAUAUCCAAAAUUCAAGGUAAAUUUGCAAACCAAUAAGACAAAAACCAUUUGCUGGGUCUUUGGAAUGGAUUCUUUGUGAUAGGAGGGUAAAAGUGCGUUGGGAUUCAGGACAGCAGUUUAUUUAUCGCAUCGGCGACGAAGACGCUUACGAUUUGCGGGUUUUGGACAAUUCAACCGUCGGGGUAAAACACCCUGGGGUCGAAUGUCGAGGGUGUGGCCAGAAAGACAUUGCCGGUUUGAGGUGGCAGUGCUUGAUUGUCCUACGCCUUCCGAUUUGUGUACCUUUUGCUUCGCGAACGGAACACACGAUCAACGACACGUCAAUUUUAUAGGCGCUAUCAUCACCCGUCAUCUGAUCCAAUCGUCGUCCGUUUGAAUUCUGACCAGCCAAGGAUCCCAUUGACAGGAAUUUUCUCUGGUGCACUAGUGAGAAGAGGUGCAGAUUGGAAAUACGGUGACGAGGAUGGAUGGAAAGAUAAAGAGGCAAACCCACCAAUCGGUAAAGUGGUGCCGACACCCACCGGCCGUGAGAUGACGUCGGGCAAAGUUUGGGUCCAGUGGCCGUGUGAAUUAGAUAAAUCCUACUCCUACCGUGUGGGUUUGAAUGGCAAAAUGGACCUAAGAAUUGCCAAAGCUGGUAUCGGCGGACAUUAUCAGCCUGACACACUACCCGUUCUCAAGAUCUCCAAGUCGAGGGCGGACGAGAAACCAAAAGACGUUGUCGCAGAUCCUCCAUUCGUCAUUGGAGACAGGGUCAAACUUGCAGUUGGAUUGAAGCAGCUCAGAGAAAUGUCAGUGAACUGCGAAUUAGAUUGGAACAAUGGUGAAAUGGAAAAGGUAAAGCACUUAGCUUUUGAAGAUGCUAUGUGUGUCAAUCGUUGGAAGGAACGCGUAUAAUGUUUAAUUCUAUAUUUCAGGUGGUUGAUGAUAAUGGGACGUUUGAGGAAUUGAGAAUGGAGACCUCGAGCCAAGUUAAAACCGUAAAGGUGGUAUCUUCGAAGAGGAAAAAAAUGGUAUUAGGCUUCCCGUAAAAGCAUUGCGCAGAUCAAUUCGUGGCUACCAGUUGGCGCCGUGGUACAAGUCAUUAACAAAUCAUAUUCAGAUGGCAUGGACAUGGCAUACGACGGGAUGGCGGGCGAUUUUGGACGCGUUAAGCAAGUAAAUCUCAAUGGGAAGACGGUGCAUAUGGAAUUCUUUACAUCCCAUGGAAAUGAUACAAGAACAAUUCCUAUUAGUCAACUACAUGACAAAUUUGUUGAUGUGUCGGUGAUCGAAAAAGUGGAAUCUAUUAGAAAAUAUUUGGCCAAGUUACUGUUGUCGAAGGUGG
RNAcentral lists this long non-coding RNA (1940 nucleotides) under Daphnia pulex (common water flea). RNAcentral's name for it is "uncharacterized LOC124203311, transcript variant X2". Lineage: Eukaryota; Metazoa; Arthropoda; Branchiopoda; Diplostraca; Daphniidae. The record is from RNAcentral.